Molecule: long non-coding RNA, 285 nt
Filed under: Mytilus galloprovincialis (Mediterranean mussel)
Lineage: Eukaryota; Metazoa; Mollusca; Bivalvia; Mytilida; Mytilidae
Source: RNAcentral
CUGCAGGAAACAUUAACUGUUAUAAACCCGGGAAUCUUUCAGAUACUUAAUGUAUUUGCAUGUAUGCCGGUCUCGACGGCAACGGCAGAACGGUCUUUUAGUACCAUGAGAAGAGUGAAGACCUACUUGAGAAAUACAAUGAAAACGAAUCGUUUAUCUGGACUCGGUCUUUUGAACAUAUACUGAGAAAAAAAAUUAAAGCAGACACGGUUUUGGACAUCUUUAGUAGAAAAAAAGAAAGGAAAUGGGCAUUGAUUUUUCAGAAUUAACUUUGAGAGAAAAAAA